Molecule: ribosomal RNA, 254 nt
Filed under: uncultured bacterium
Lineage: Bacteria
Description: partial 16S ribosomal RNA
Rfam family: Bacterial small subunit ribosomal RNA
Source: RNAcentral
UACAGAGGGUGCGAGCGUUGUUCGGAAUUACUGGGCGUAAAGCGCGCGCAGGCGGCCACUUAAGUCCGCUGGUGAAAGACCGGGGCUCAACCCCGUGUCAGCCAGGGAUACUGGGUGGCUGGAGACAGGUAGAGGCAAGCGGAAUUCCGGGUGUAGCGGUGGAAUGCGUAGAUAUCAAGAGGAACACCUGAGGUGAAGACGGGUUGCUGGGCUGACACUGACGCUGAGGCGCGAAAGCCAGGGGAGCAAACGGG